UGGGUCACACCCGCAGCGUUUCUCUAGCAGGGUUCUCAACACUUUCCUGCUGGGAUGCUCAGCCACUCCUGCCCUGAGGUUCGCAGAGAAUUGACCCCCUCUGCCCCUCUCCGAGGCUGAAAAUACCUCUGGGCAGCCUCCCUCCUCCAAUCUGGAGUGAGAUGCUGCUCUGGAAGUGUGGCGAUUGCUUCUCUUCCCUUCCAGUCUCCAGCUGCAGCCCCGUUGGCCAUCCACACUGCUCCCACGGUGGUUCAUUGCACCCUCCAGGCUCAGACUCACUGACACAGACAUCGCCGAUGCUUCUUCUCCUGACUUCCACAGAGAUGCUGAAUACACAAGAAGCAGAGACUACUGGACUGCACUAAUUAGCAUGCUUCAGCGGACCCGAUCAGUUAAGUCUGCUCCAAUGCUCUGUGACUACAGUGCGUCAGAGCAGUGUCCCCACAUGUCUACAGGCAACUGAAAGGAAUAAAAGCUGAACAUGGAGGUGCACUUUCACAGAAACCCCUGCACCAGUCUGCUUGAAACCUGGCAGAGACAGGAGAGUUACAAGGGGCAGAGAGAGAACAAUGCAGCUACAGAGGGAAAGGGAAGCGGUAAGCAGAAGGAAGCAGUAAUACCUUCUCCAGUUUAUUCUUACCAGGUGUGGCAGCUAUAUCAAUAGCAAUACCAGCACAUACCCCCAAAUGUACUGGGGCAGGCUACAGAGCUUUGCUUAGUGAAGACCAUAUAGAGUGCUCAGUUACCUCAAAGUGAGUCUAGAAAACUUCCCAGAACACAUAUACCCCUUUCCCUUAAACUGCAAAGAAUAUAUGUUAAGAAGAAGCAUGAUGAAGGUUGUGCAUUAAUAUCCAUUGGAGUGAAGGACUUCAAAGACUGACUCUUAUUAUACUGUGAUUGUGAAUUUUGGAUACCAGAGAUACAUUGUAAUAUGCAGUAUGUGUUAAUAAUGUAUUUUACCUGGGGGGGGGGGCGUAUAUAAGAGUAAAUUUGUGUUAUACAUUUAAGCAAAGAAAGGUAGUUCAUAAAAAGUCUGUUUGCCUUAUUUUCCUACUUCUUUCAACUAUUAUUGUGCAGCAGAUGGUAAUGCAGCAGAAGAUUUAGAAUAUUGACUUACACAAUAAACAGCAUGCUUCAUUUUGCCAUGAACAAUAAGAUACUUAUUUCUUACUUGCUGAGUGAUCAUCAUCCUUCUCCUAAACAGGUUUUUCUUAAACUGGCAUAUUUGUUUUUAUUCAAACAAACUUUUGAGUUCAAAUAAUCUCUGCAGUCCUUUGCAACCUGCACUCCAUUGCAGGUGUCUUUCUAAUUAAAGAACGUAAACCUCUUGUUUUACUGUGCAUCAUAUGUAUUUUACUACUGUAGCCUGGGUGUACACAGGUUUAUACUUCCUUCUCCAGUUGAGGGAAUUAUUGGCAGGGCAGUGUGCUGUGGAGGGACAGAACAGCCCAGUGGCCACCUCCAUCACCUAUAGAGUCAGGUCUAGUCAAUCAAUUACUUAACUAUAUACAGGUUUAUUAUUACAACAAA
Long non-coding RNA from Alligator mississippiensis (American alligator), 1530 nucleotides. RefSeq lists it as uncharacterized. The transcript has 4 exons. The record is from RefSeq and is a predicted model, not a curated record. Lineage: Eukaryota; Metazoa; Chordata; Crocodylia; Alligatoridae.